Molecule: non-coding RNA, 847 nt
Organism: Bemisia tabaci
Lineage: Eukaryota; Metazoa; Arthropoda; Insecta; Hemiptera; Aleyrodidae
Source: RefSeq, a predicted model, not a curated record
GCUCACUCCCAGCGUAUCUCGGUCGAAGAAGAAGAACACACCCAGAAAGUAAUGUUUACAUUGAGAACCUAACCUAAAUCUGCUGACUUUGUCCUCCCUUCCCUCGUGCGUGCUGGGAGAAUGAGCAUGAGGAUUUUUGAAAAUGACGAACGAACAGUUUAAUUAUUAACGCGAAACUUUUCUUUUGUUCUAUGAUCUUGAUAAUUUCUAAUUUCAAGUUGCUGUUAUGUUUUCUUCAUCUGUUGUCUUGGUGGUUAAGUUGGUUAUCCUAAAAUGUGAAGUGAUGUAGUUCGUUUUUGGGCCAGUAUCUCUUGCGACGAGGAGAAGCCCUAAGAUGCCGUCAGUGGGCAAGUUGGCUUUACCCACAAAGUAACUGGGAGUCUGAAUCUGAUCUACUGGCCCUGUACAAAAAGUCGAGAGUUGUUUGCUCAAGUCAUUUUACCGAAGCAGACUUUCCGGACAAUGUGCGACGAACACUGCGUAGAGCUGCUGUACCUCAUGUCACAUCCACGGAUAAAUCUGCCACUUCAAUGAUUGCAACCAUUGAGCCACCGAGUUCUAUUGAUGCUGCAAGCUAUGGAUCUUCACAGCAGAAUGGAGAGAUCGGCAUAGAACUAGGGCCAUCCUCUGAAUCCAUCCUUGGUUAUGAAACCCAUACUUCUACGCUACCGCAAGAUACCAUCAUCAGCAACAUACCAUUUCUCCGCUUAGUAGAAUGACGUAACAUUUGAAAUUUAGUUUUGAUAAGGAGAAUGCUGAUUCUUGUUACCUACUUGUGUUCAGAAUUCAGUCAAAUGUUUGUACAUUUUUUUCCAUUCAGAAUUAAAUUACUUUCCAUCAAAAGCAA